This 38-nucleotide ribosomal RNA is filed under the name Stichoneuron caudatum. RNAcentral describes it as "partial 18S ribosomal RNA". The record is from RNAcentral. Lineage: Eukaryota; Viridiplantae; Streptophyta; Magnoliopsida; Pandanales; Stemonaceae.
GUCCACUGAACCUUAUCAUUGAGAGGAAGGAGAAGUCG